RNAcentral lists this ribosomal RNA (407 nucleotides) under uncultured bacterium. RNAcentral's name for it is "partial 16S ribosomal RNA". It matches the Rfam family "Bacterial small subunit ribosomal RNA", at positions 30 to 526 of the family's 1533-position model. The record is from RNAcentral.
AUUGAACGCUGGCGGCAGGCCUAACACAUGCAAGUCGAGCGGAGCGGCGGACGGGUGAGUAAUGCCUAGGUAUCUGCCUGGUCGUGGUGGAUAACGUCCGGAACCGGGAGCUAAUACUGAAUACUAUUAGAUGAGCCUAGGCCGGAUUAGCUAGUUGGUGGGGUAAAGGCCUACCAAGGCGACGAUCCCUAGCUGGUCUGAGAGGAUGAUCAGCCACACUGGAACUGAGACACGGUCCAGACUCCUACGGGAGGCAGCAGUGGGGAAUAUUGGACAAUGGGCGAAAGCCUGAUCCAGCCAUGCCGCGUGUGUGAAGAAGGUCUUCGGGUUGUAAAGCACUUUAAGUUGGGAGGCGUUACCAACAGAAUAAGCACCGGCUAACUUCGUGCCAGCAGCCGCGGUAAUAC